Gossypium arboreum is the source of this 1560-nucleotide long non-coding RNA. RefSeq lists it as uncharacterized. The record is from RefSeq and is a predicted model, not a curated record. Lineage: Eukaryota; Viridiplantae; Streptophyta; Magnoliopsida; Malvales; Malvaceae. The transcript is spliced from 2 exons.
UAUACUAUGUGGAAGAUGUGUUAAAUUGUGAAGCCCUCAAUAUUUUAAGAAUUUAGGAGGAAAUAAGUUAAAAGGAUGUGUACAUGUGUAUAUUUUCAUUUUAACUAAAACCUUUUAAUAUAUGUGAUUUAAUAUGUAUAUAUAUAUAUAUAUAUAUAUAUGUGAUACUAGCUAAUUGUAUGUAUUAAUUGAAAUGCACUUAUUAAUUAUGAAUCUAUUUUAUUUUUUAUAAUGUUUCACUAAUAAUUUAAUUAUAAAAUCAAACUAUGUUGAUAUGUCAACAUGUAAUAGGUGACAAAUGUCUUAGAAUUGUUUUAGAACUAAUUGUUACUAAAAUUAUUUUAAAAUUAUUUUUAUUUUUUGAAAAUACGGUCCGUUUUGCUUUAACUAGGCUUGGAAGUCCAAAACAAAUUACAAAUAAAACCCAAACACAACAAAAGUAGAACAAAACCCAAACCAAACAAAAGCAAAACAACACCCAACAAAAGUCAGAUAAAAAACAAAUCAGAAACAAUAAAGUAACAAACGAAACACAUCCAGAAGCUUCUUCCAAACCCUUCGAUAACCAGCAACCCAAAACGGCCUGAAACGCUCCCAAGAUUGGCAAACAGAGCCAUCAACUAGAGGAAGAGAGUUGAGAUUCGAUGCAUAGAGUUGCAAACAUUCUCACCCAAGAACUGCAAACAGAAUAGGGAGGCAACUACGACGGUUGGUGGAAACAAUGAUCUAGAUCCCCAGUUCCAAGUCCCGAGGCUGAGCAUCCUUUACCCGGAAUGAAUCUUACGAGUGUUUCAUUGCUUCAGACGCCAUUGCAUGCACUAGUGUAUUUCCUUCUCUCUUGAAGAAUUCGAAACGACAAGACGCGAAGCCCCUCGCCAGAGUCUUCACAUCCCAGGAUCACUCUCGAGAAACCCAUAUCCCUCGCAAACUGAAGACCAUGCAGAACAGCCAUUGCUUCGGCCAACACCACCAUCCUAACCAGGUUAUGCAUUCUGAAUCUCGAGCCCAUUAAAUUACCAUAAUUAUUCCUAAUUAGAAACCCUGAACUGCUCGAUUAUUUGCCUUAGAAAACCCAACGUCCACAUUCACUUUGACCAAGUUCAUAGGUGGAGGCUCCCAAUUAAUUAAGGCUCGGGGUAUGGGAUGCUUUAACAUUCAUGACAUCUCUCUAUAAUCCCCUACCAUAUCCCCGAAUAAAGGUAAUAACCUCCUCACACUUUACAUUUCUCUUUCAUGCAGUUGCUUGUUAAGGGCAAACUAGAUUGCCCAUAUUGUAAUGGCAAUUUCCUCUUUAGUAUUACUGGCAGAAUUAACGAAUAGCUAGUUUAACCACUCGUUGAAAUUCAAAUCUGCAAUAUAACUUGGCCACCGAUAAUUUAACUUUGACCAGACCUGCAUAGCAAACGUGCAGUCUCGCUCAACAUGAACAGUCGAUUCACUACAAUCCCGAUAACGCGGGCAAUUAUUAUCGUGCAUAAUUAUUCUAAAGUGCAAGUUUUGAAAAGUAGGAAUGUAAUUUUUAUCAAAUCUCCACAAUAAAAUGUGAAUUUUGGCAUUAAA